UACGUAGGUGGCAAGCGUUGUCCGGAUUUACUGGGCGUAAAGAGCGCGCAGGCGGUCGUUCAAGUCGCGUGUGAAAGCCCCCGGCUCAACUGGGGAGGGUCACGCGAUACUGAUCGACUGGAAGGCAGGAGAGGGUAGUGGAAUUCCCGGUGUAGUGGUGAAAUGCGUAGAUAUCGGGAGGAAUACCAGCGGCGAAGGCGGCCUUCUGGACGGUGACUGACGCUGAGACGCGAAAGCCAGGGGAGCGAACGGG
This 253-nucleotide ribosomal RNA is filed under the name uncultured bacterium. RNAcentral describes it as "partial 16S ribosomal RNA". It matches the Rfam family "Bacterial small subunit ribosomal RNA", at positions 524 to 776 of the family's 1533-position model. The record is from RNAcentral.